This 6595-nucleotide long non-coding RNA is filed under the name Citrus x clementina. RNAcentral's name for it is "Citrus clementina (C. clementina) long non-coding RNA (CCLE_LNC005356)". Lineage: Eukaryota; Viridiplantae; Streptophyta; Magnoliopsida; Sapindales; Rutaceae. The record is from RNAcentral.
UCAAUUACCCGGGGAGUACAGUAUUCAUCAGAUGCAGCAAAGCCAAGGUAGUUGUAUGAUCCCAAAUUUAGGCAUCUAUUUACUUUGUUGGUUCGUCUGCAUCAUAAUCACUCAGUCAUCUAGACAUUCACCAUUUUGAGUGACUAUGCAGAAGAAAAAUGAAAAAAGAAACUAAACACCUCUAUAUCAUAAGCAUCAAACACAAAUAAGGAAGCUUACUUCAGUGUCUUGUUACUGUCAUUGGAAAAACGUUCAACCACAUCAAACCACGCAUCAGGGGCACUUGAUAUAGGUCGCCCAAAACAGUCCUGGACAGAUAUGAGAUUGAUAAUUAAUCACAAAUAGUUGUUGCUCGCUUAAACAACCUACGGGAGGGAUGAAGGAAUACAUAUAACAUCGUACACCUAUUCAGUAGUAACUGGCAGGAUUCAAAGAACUAUCAUUCAUCAAACUUAGAGUAAGUCGAAACCCAUCAGAAUACAAUAACAUAACUCCUUCCACCAACGCAAUCUAUUCACUAAAACUUUUCACUUAAAACUAACUAUAUAAACAUCUCAUCUCAAUAAUCACUCAGAGCCAUUACUAAUUUGAAAUUCCAACCACUCCAUUAAACUCCUCGAUUCAUAGUCAUAAAACACAACUUGUUGAGCCUUGUUUUAUGUUAUUCUUAUUUCUAUUUUAUAAGGUGACUGUCCAUCUUUUCCUCAUCACUACUAAAUCAUACUAAACCACAACAUAUAUUACGAAAUUCUGCAUUUUUUUCAGCAGCAACCAAGUCUGAUUUUAAUCACUCUGAAACUAAAACAAAGCACUAGUCAUUUCCUAUUAAAAUAAAGCGAGUAAUUUCACAAUUUUCAAUCAAAUCACAGCACGAACAGAUACCUGAAUUCGGAGAUACAAGCGACGAAUAUAAAAAUCUUCAAGUCCUAAGCAGAUUGGGGCGUAUCCCUGUCUCACAACAAUCAAAUGUCAACAGCCAAUCAACAACAGACACAAACGCGCGCAAUCAAGCAAUCACCAGACCACAACUACCAGAAAAUAAAAAAUAAAAAAAUACCUGAAGAUUAUUGGCGCUCCACCAGUCAAUAAUUUUGCGAAAGAAAUCUCUGAUUUGGCCAAAAACAAACAACAAUCCAUAGCUGAAAUAAGUCGUUAAAGCGGUUAAGUACGGAAUUGAAAUCAUCUCUACUUAAUUAAUAUAAUAAUAAUUUGUGAGUUGGAAAUGUGAAGAACAGAUCUGCGGAGGCGCAGAGAAAGGAAUAUUGAGAGAUCGGAAUGAGGAAACAAAGCUGAAAGGGCGGAUCCGAAAAUGGACCCGAAUGAAAUCGGGCGGGGAUUGAGAGAGCCAGAGAGGAUGUGGAGGCGGGAGAAAGAUUCUAAUUCUGGUAAUCAAUUCAGCGGUGCGGGCCUCCGCGGUUUUAGACUCCAAUGGUCUGGCUGGACCUGGCAGAAAAAUCAUGGUCAAGUCAACUUUUAUGUCUUUUAAAAAUUGGAAAACUUUGUUUUGUUUGAAAAAUAUAAAAUAUAAUAAAAUGGAAACCUUCCUGAACUAUCUUGAUAAAAAAGUCUUAAUUUGAUUUUUGAGAUUUUAAUGGGUAUGUUGAUUAUGUAAUUAUGUUAAUUAAAUUUAAAUUUGAUAAUAACUUUUUCUUUUUGUUGAAUUAAAAAGAGAAUUUGUUGGCUUCGAGUCUUGGUAAAUAAUAAUUAUAUUUUACAUAAUAUUAUGAUUCAUCCCAAAUACUAUUUUAUAUUCCAUCCAAUCUGGUAUUUUCAUGAUCAAUUUUUUUUUAAGUAAAAACUCAAGGCACGCAACAUAAUUACAUAAGAGGUUAUGAUCGUGAAUUUGUACAUUGGUAAAAUGAUAUAAUUAUUAUUUAGAUGAAAUAUGCAUCACCCAUUUAUUAAUAAGCGUAGAAAUUUUUACACACUGAAACCCACAUCAUAUAUAGUUAACAAUUUGAUUAAUCAUUUCAUAGUGACUUUUUUUUUUAACCCCAAUUAUACUACAUUUAAUUUUACUAUUUAAAAAGUGAUUGAGUUUUAUUUAUUUAUUUACUUAUUUAUUUAUUAGGACCAAUUGGAGUUUGAAAGUUAGUGCUCCAGAAAUUUUACAAAAUAUUUAAUCACAUGGGAAACAAGUGAAAUUUUGAUAAAAAAGAUUAAAUUCAUAUUAAGUGGAUAACAUGAUUAAUAAAUAAUUAAAUCGAAUUAGUGUUAAAAAAACCUAACACAGUCAAACGUAGUGUUUAGAAAGUUAGGAUCUAAACUUUCCAAAAUCUUUCCCGUAAAUUCCCGGUGCUGACGAUACCACUUAGCAGCAGCGGUUGGUAGGUUUUGCCGGGUUUGAUAUUAAACAAAAACUAUGAGCAAAACCAAAAAAAUAUUAACUUAAACAUUUCUACUUUUAAUUAGCUAACGAAAAUUUCAAAUCCCGAAGGAGAUAAUUAAAAAAUUAUUGAUAAAAGGAAUGAAAAAUGUAGGAAUAAUAGUAUCAUUUAAAUUAAUAGGCUACUUGAUCCUAAUUUUGUUCAAGUACGACAAAUGAACUCAAAUCGUAUUCAAACCAUGAUAACAAAAACAGCUCAAAACCAAUACAACAAAGAAAAAAAUACUAAAUUCACUAAAAAGCUACAAUUUCUAAUCUAUUUUACCAUCACCUGCCCUAACCAUGAUAACAAAAACAGCUCAAAACCAAUACAACAAAGGAAAAAAUACUAAAUUCACUAAAAAGCUACAAUUUCUAAUCUAUUUUACCAUGACCUGUCCUACAUGAUAUUCCAAAAACGAACAUAGCUCAUACUUUUCAGUUCAAAACCCUGACUAGUAACUGGUUCAUCUCUCAAAAACUUGAAAAUUUCACAUAAUCAAAACCUCAAAGAAGAGAUGGUGCAAACAAAGAACCCCUAUUGAAAAAGAAGCGUAAACCUGAUGUAAGCACUCAAAAGCUUCAACCUUUGAACAGUAUUCUCAAUUUUGAGAAGACAAAACCCAGGACCCCGAUGAAAACUGAAUUAAUUUAGAAGGUCAAAUAAAUUAGGAGGAUGACGAUGAUAAGGACAUGGAUGGUAAUAGGGAGGGAGAGUGACAGAAAGACCCACUAGGCACUAGCAGCAUCAAUUUCCAGUGUAUAUGUAAGGGACAAAGGCACCACUUGCAGCUACACCAAUGGAAUCUUUGAAAGAGAGACAGCAUAAAUAAUUUAACAAAAAGUUUAAAAGGAAAAGAAAAGACACUGGCCCCCAUCAAGGACACGAGCGUCACUUGAUUUUGUCUAUGUAUGGGUGGAGAGGCUGAUCCUUCCAAAGCAAUUUACAUGAUAGGGAUGAUGAUAUCAGAACUUAAAGACUAUAAGAAUCCAACCAUUACCUAAGCAAAAUAAUCACCGAGUCUUUCUUGGUCAAUGCUUUAUAGAUCUUGCCUUGUGAUGCUGCUGCUUGAAACUGAUAUAAUGUGGAAAAAAUUAUUUCUGUAUUACUCUAACUUCAACAUCCCCACUUGCUGUUGUUUCUUUGGUUCAGCUGGGAAGUAUUUAAUACCCACAAGAUCACCAAUCCUACUGAUUACCUGAGACAAGAAAGCAAUCCAAACCAGGAUUUACAAUGUAGACACACUAAGAAAGAAUUGUUUUUAUUAAAUCAACUAAACUAAGAUGCACUCUGUGCCUAUUUAAAAUUGACAAGAACUAAAAUGUCAAAAUUUGCUUCUCGCAUGCUUAAAAGUCCUAAACAAAUGUCAUAAUCAUAGUAUACAACCACGAAUCCAUGUGUCUGCAUCUAAUACUCUCCUAGGAUAAUCCAUGUGAAGAAAACUAAUGUGAAUGUGUAUUCUUGCAAUCGCUCUCUCUCUCUCACACACUCAUGCAAUGGUCUUCUAUGGAGCAGAACUUACCUCCAAGGCUUCAAUCAGAUCUUCCUUCGUAUGUGAAGCGGAUAUGCAUAUACGAGCCCUUGCCAAUAGUAGUGGGGUAGCCGGGAAACCAACAGUCACAAUAGCCACCUAUAACAAAUAUCAGUUUCUAGUUACAUACACCUAAUUAAAAUUUGUCACAAAAACUUUAAUCAUGAGAUAGGGGGUUAAGCCAGGCGCACACACAUUCUGCUUGAGACACUCUCGUGAAAAGGACGAGACUUUGGCAGGGUUGUAAACCAUAAUUGGCAUCACUGGAGAAUCAUUAUCUCCGAGAACUUCGAACCCCAUUUUCUGCAGUUUUGACCUAAAAAAGUUGCUAUUCUCGCGAAUACGUGCAAGUUUCUGGGCACCUAUAUGAAUACAAAAGAAUUUAAGGUUCAGAUCAAUAUAGCAAGACCCAUGGAACUUCAUGAAGCUCGCACACUAUUAGCUCAAAAGAAAGAAUAAUGACAAAAGUAUCAGUUUGUACCUCUACAUGAACCAUCCUCCCCUAUAACAACUUGUAUGGCAGAUAUGAUUUGUUCUGCUGCAGGCGGUGAAAUUGAAGUUGCAUAUAGAUGAGCAGGACAAUUGUACUUCAAGUAUUGGAUCAGUUCCUUCAAAUUAAAAAGGACAAAAUAAAAAUGAUCCUAUAAGAAUGCAAUUGAGAGCUUAUAAUAUAUUUUUCUCCCCCAAACCCUCCCCAACUUUUUUCUCCCCUGCACAAUGGCCAAUACAAACACUUGAAGGAGAAUCCAUUCCAGUGGGGAAAUGUUUAUAAAUGGUUAGUAUAUAUACUUUCAAUGGUAGAAGAUAGAAGACAGUAACAGAAUAUGGAUGAAUAACCCAUAUGAUUAUUAUGAUUCAUAUGUUAAACACUACAUUAUAGCUUAGAUUGCUGAAAAGUGUACCUUAGAUCCUGCAAUGUAGCCACCAUAUGAUCCAAAUGAUUUACUAAAAGUUCCCAUCAUGAUAUCCACAUCAGAGGUAUCAACUCCUAAGAGCUCGCAAACCCCUCUUCCUGUUUUGCCCACAGCUCCUAUGCUGUGGGCCUCAUCUAAGUAUGUAUAUGCCUGUCCCACGAUAUUGAAACCAUAAAAAUAGUAUAAAAUAAUGCAUAGCUAUUGAAAAAAAGAGAGCCUAUAAAAAGAUAAUGACAAACAGACUUUAAAUGAGAGUAAAAGAACAACUCUUGAACAACUUUAAAUGCAAAAGGAAUGCAAGCACGAGACUUGAGAUUACAAGCAAACAUAUGAUCAUGCGCAUAAAAGGUAGGAAUAUUUAUGAAGUGCAUGGAAAGAGAUAUGGGAAAAGGAUUGAGUAGUCAUAGGUUUGCUAUAACUUCAACAUACAAUGAGCGCUGUAACCUUUUUUACUUUUGUAAAUUGGGGAAAAGGAAUUAAGCAUAGAGUUCACAUCAAAAUAUGCAGAAGACAAAUAGUCCUAUAAAAGAAUAUCUAGGAUGCUAAAUAAAGUUUGAAAAUACAUAUUAUAUUAGCAUAUCAAGAAUCAUCUUUUUAAAACAUUGCAGAAAGUAAAUAAUUUCCCAUUCACGAAAAAGAAUUUGAUGACUUUAGUGAUAUGACAGUUCAAGGCGCAUAUUGAAAUGAUAGACAUCAUCUCACACAACCUUAUAUCUUUUGCAGAUUGCUAUUAUUUCAGGAAGUUUGCAAAGCUCCCCUUCCAUGCUGUAAAUCCCCUCCACAACAACCAUGAUCUUCUUCCAAGGUCUACGAGUUCUCGGUUGUCCCUCCGCGAUUUGUUCCCUCAAGACUUCCUCCAAGUGAGAAGGGGCUGUAAACAAAAUGGUAAAAGGAACCAUGAUCAGAAACUUCUCCAACUGAGAUCUUUGGAGUACUACUUGCAUUCGAAAAAAUAAUGCACCAUACUGAUUACUAAUGCACAAUAGUGAUGCAUUUUGUUUUUUUUCACAAAUUAGUAUCAUAUGCUACGAUGUCCUACCCAAGAAACAAGAACCAUACUUGACAACAGUCACACCUCAUCAUGAAGUCGGAAUCAUUUAAUUCAGCAACAAAACAGAAAGACUUACUAUUGUGUUGGAAAACACGAAUAGUUGCUCCAGAUCCUCGUGCACCGUUCACAAUAGAAUUAUGGUUCAAUGAAUCACUAAUAAUCAAACUUCCCUGUAAAUAAAAUUGACAAGCAGUCAAAAUUAAAUAGCAAGGUGAGAAAUUAUGUUUAAAAGUUGCUCUCAUAUGUUAUAUAACGGACCUUCCCCAUCAAGACUGGAAGGAUAGAUGAGUUGGUUACAUAGCCCAUGCCAAAAACUAUAGCAGCUGGCUUUCCAACAAACCUUGCAACACACUCCUCCAAUUCAUUGUGCAGCGCCAAUGUGCCUGAUGGCAAAACUGCAUUAGUAAAACUUUCUAUAACAAGUGUCAACACAAAAGCAUCCUACAAGGUAAUAAACUCACCACCAUCCACCCGACUACUACAGGUACUAUGAGAAUAUUUUUUCAAUGAGUCAAUUACUCGGGGUGUACAGUAUUCAUCUGCUGCAGCAAAACCAAGGUAGUUGUAUGAUCCCAAAUUCAGGCAUCUACUUACAUUGUUGGUUCGUCUGCAUUAGAUCACUCAUUCAUAUAGGUAUUCUUCAAUGGCGUGAAUACGAUGAACAAAAAUGAUAAAAGAAACUAAAUACCUAUCUAAAUCAUAAUCAUCAAGCACAAGAGAAAAUACUUACUUG